Molecule: ribosomal RNA, 770 nt
Filed under: uncultured fungus
Lineage: Eukaryota; Fungi
Description: eukaryotic LSU rRNA
Rfam family: Eukaryotic large subunit ribosomal RNA
Source: RNAcentral
GAACUUAAGCAUAUCAAUAAGCGGAGGAAAAGAAACCAACAGGGAUUGCCUCAGUAACGGCGAGUGAAGCGGCAACAGCUCAAAUUUGAAAUCUGGCCUCACGGUCCGAGUUGUAAUUUGUAGAGGAUGUUUCGAGUGUGGUCCGGUCUAAGUUCCUUGGAACAGGACGUCAUAGAGGGUGAGAAUCCCGUAUGCGACUGGGUGCCUAAUCUCAUGUGAAACUCCUUCGACGAGUCGAGUUGUUUGGGAAUGCAGCUCAAAAUGGGUGGUAAAUUUCAUCUAAAGCUAAAUACUGGCCAGAGACCGAUAGCGCACAAGUAGAGUGAUCGAAAGAUGAAAAGCACUUUGGAAAGAGAGUUAAACAGUACGUGAAAUUGUUGAAAGGGAAGCGCUUGCAACCAGACUUGCACGCAGUCGAUCAUCCGAUGUUUUCACCGGUGCACUCGAUUGUGUUCAGGCCAGCAUCGGUUUUGGUGGUGGGAUAAAGGCCUUGGGAAUGUAGCUUCUUUCGGGGAGUGUUAUAGCCCUCGGUGCAAUGCCGCCUACUGGGACCGAGGACCGCGCUUCGGCUAGGAUGCUGGCGUAAUGGUUGUAAGCGACCCGUCUUGAAACACGGACCAAGGAGUCUAACAUCUAUGCGAGUGUUUGGGUGUCAAACCCAUACGCGUAAUGAAAGUGAACGGAGGUGAGAACCCUUAAGGGUGCAUCAUCGACCGAUCCUGAUGUCUUCGGAUGGAUUUGAGUAAGAGCAUAGCUGUUGGGACCCGAAA